CUGCACCUAAUGAACAGGGCUUAACCAGACAGCCGGUUAGUUAUACUAUAUUUACACCCCGAAAAAAACUGAUAAUUACCUUCAAGCAAUUGAUUACAUUACAUCGCACAAGCAGUGUUACAACUUACACGCAUUCAUAAAACGGAGUAGAAUUAAUAGAAGAUAUUAACAGGAUUAAAGCAGAAACUAUAGAACAUCAUCAUACAGAAGCAAUGUAACAAAGAUAUGAGAAGCAGGGUGAUUAACGAUCAGAUUUGACAUAUAUACAGAACAUAAUAUCGUAAAAACAAUCACUGAGCCUCAAUGGUGUUUGCAUUACUGGUAGCAUCAGCCUUAGAGGUGGAGUCUUUCGAGUCAAUGCUUUUAGUCCGCUGGAGACUCGGGGCCCGGUGAAGCCUGCACCUGAAGGAACCUGCAUGUGUGGUAGGCGAGCAUAAGCAAAUAAAGCAAUUGCUCUUGGCUGAACUUGGUUGUCUUGUUAGCCCCGAUGUUGGAGAUACCAUUUCAGUUUCUUGUGGAGUCUCCACCUUCAUAUAAUUUUUGUUGCUCAUAUGUUCGCUAUCCAUUCAAUUUUCUUCCCUUAAACUUUCCCCCCCUGCAAGAGCUAAUUCACGGAUCAUGUUGUGUACCCACAAAAUGCAAAACGAAACAAUAAUAGUUUGUAAUUCGAUUAGAAAUUGUUACCUUUGGACUUUGGUGAUGUUCUUGAUUGACCCAGAAAGCACACCACAAAAAUGAAGAUCAAGUAAGAGAAAGAGAUGACAUUGGGAAUGGCUAAAAAUGACAAUAUGCUUUAUCUAUUUCUCUAUCACGGGAAUAAUAAUCGAUUCCAUUAACGUCCCACCUAGAUAUAUCACUUUUGUUGUGAAUGCCUCAACCACUCCCCCCAAUUAGAGAAACCCAUCAUAUCAAUAUGACCCCAUUACGUUUUGUAUAAUUUGAUCUCUUCUUUUUGGGCAUGCACUUGAAUCAUGAGGUGCCAUACCAUGCUUGUGAAAAAUCUUUAAAA
RNAcentral lists this long non-coding RNA (1009 nucleotides) under Citrus x clementina. RNAcentral describes it as "Citrus clementina (C. clementina) long non-coding RNA (CCLE_LNC003650)". The record is from RNAcentral. Lineage: Eukaryota; Viridiplantae; Streptophyta; Magnoliopsida; Sapindales; Rutaceae.